CCUACGGGAGGUAGCAGUGAGGAAUAUUGGUCAAUGGACGAGAGUCUGAACCAGCCAAGUAGCGUGAAGGAUGACUGCCCUAUGGGUUGUAAACUUCUUUUAUAUGGGAAUAAAACGUUCCACGUGUGGGAUUUUGUAUGUACCAUAUGAAUAAGGAUCGGCUAACUCCGUGCCAGCAGCCGCGGUAAUACGGAGGAUCCGAGCGUUAUUCGGAUUUAUUGGGUUUAAAGGGAGCGUAGGUGGAUUGUUAAGUCAGUUGUGAAAGUUUGCGGCUCAACCGUAAAAUUGCAGUUGAAACUGGCAGUCUUGAGUACAGUAGAGGUGGGCGGAAUUCGUGGUGUAGCGGUGAAAUGCUUAGAUAUCACGAAGAACUCCGAUUGCGAAGGCAGUUCACUGGACUGCAACUGACACUGAGGCUCGAAAGUGUGGGUAUCAAACAGGAUUAGAUACCCCAGUAGUC
Molecule: ribosomal RNA, 460 nt
Filed under: uncultured bacterium
Lineage: Bacteria
Description: partial 16S ribosomal RNA
Rfam family: Bacterial small subunit ribosomal RNA
Source: RNAcentral